CCCUUAGAUGUCCGGGGCCGCACGCGCGCUACACUGAAGGAAUCAGCGUGGCUUUCUCCCUGACCCGAAAGGGUUGGGAAACCCGUUGAAUCUCCUUCGUGAUAGGGAUUGGGGCUUGAAAUUGUUCCCCAUGAACGAGGAAUUCCCAGUAAGCGCGAGUCAUAAGCUCGCGUUGAUUACGUCCCUGCCCUUUGUACACACCGCCCGUCGCUACUACCUAUUGAACGGUUUAGUGAGGGCCUCGGAUUGGUCUCGGCCCGCUCUUUACCGGGCGGCGCCGUUGGUCGAGAAGACGCUCGAACUUGAUCGUUUAGAGGAAGUAAAAGUCGUAACA
RNAcentral lists this ribosomal RNA (334 nucleotides) under uncultured eukaryote. RNAcentral's name for it is "partial 18S ribosomal RNA". It matches the Rfam family "Eukaryotic small subunit ribosomal RNA", at positions 1470 to 1796 of the family's 1831-position model. The record is from RNAcentral.